RNAcentral lists this ribosomal RNA (1440 nucleotides) under uncultured organism. RNAcentral describes it as "16S ribosomal RNA". It matches the Rfam family "Bacterial small subunit ribosomal RNA". The record is from RNAcentral.
CAGGCUUAACACAUGCAAGUCGAGGGGCAGCAUGGUCUUAGCUUGCUAAGACUGAUGGCGACCGGCGCACGGGUGAGUAACACGUAUCCAACCUGCCGUCUACUCUUGGACAGCCUUCUGAAAGGAAGAUUAAUACAAGAUGGCAUCAUGAGUCCGCAUGUUCACAUGAUUAAAGGUAUUCCGGUAGACGAUGGGGAUGCGUUCCAUUAGAUAGUAGGCGGGGUAACGGCCCACCUAGUCUUCGAUGGAUAGGGGUUCUGAGAGGAAGGUCCCCCACAUUGGAACUGAGACACGGUCCAAACUCCUACGGGAGGCAGCAGUGAGGAAUAUUGGUCAAUGGGCGAGAGCCUGAACCAGCCAAGUAGCGUGAAGGAUGACUGCCCUAUGGGUUGUAAACUUCUUUUAUAAAGGAAUAAAGUCGGGUAUGGAUACCCGUUUGCAUGUACUUUAUGAAUAAGGAUCGGCUAACUCCGUGCCAGCAGCCGCGGUAAUACGGAGGAUCCGAGCGUUAUCCGGAUUUAUUGGGUUUAAAGGGAGCGUAGAUGGAUGUUUAAGUCAGUUGUGAAAGUUUGCGGCUCAACCGUAAAAUUGCAGUUGAUACUGGAUAUCUUGAGUGCAGUUGAGGCAGGCGGACUUCGUGGUGUAGCGGUGAAAUGCUUAGAUAUCACGAAGAACUCCGAUUGCGAAGGCAGCCUGCUAAGCUGCAACUGACAUUGAGGCUCGAAAGUGUGGGUAUCAAACAGGAUUAGAUACCCUGGUAGUCCACACGGUAAACGAUGAAUACUCGCUGUUUGCGAUAUACUGCAAGCGGCCAAGCGAAAGCGUUAAGUAUUCCACCUGGGGAGUACGCCGGCAACGGUGAAACUCAAAGGAAUUGACGGGGGCCCGCACAAGCGGAGGAACAUGUGGUUUAAUUCGAUGAUACGCGAGGAACCUUACCCGGGCUUAAAUUGCAGAUGAAUUACGGUGAAAGCCGUAAGCCGCAAGGCAUCUGUGAAGGUGCUGCAUGGUUGUCGUCAGCUCGUGCCGUGAGGUGUCGGCUUAAGUGCCAUAACGAGCGCAACCCUUGUUGUCAGUUACUAACAGGUUCCGCUGAGGACUCUGACAAGACUGCCAUCGUAAGAUGUGAGGAAGGUGGGGAUGACGUCAAAUCAGCACGGCCCUUACGUCCGGGGCUACACACGUGUUACAAUGGGGGGUACAGAGGGCCGCUACCACGCGAGUGGAUGCCAAUCCCAAAAACCUCUCUCAGUUCGGACUGGAGUCUGCAACCCGACUCCACGAAGCUGGAUUCGCUAGUAAUCGCGCAUCAGCCACGGCGCGGUGAAUACGUUCCCGGGCCUUGUACACACCGCCCGUCAAGCCAUGGGAGCCGGGGGUACCUGAAGUGCGUAACCGCGAGGAGCGCCCUAGGGUAAAACUGGUGACUGGGGCUAAGUC